UUCCAAUUUCGUGGACCGCUUGUGUGUAUGAACUGGGGAAGGGUUACAUAUUACAGACAAAGAUCAUAAAACAAACAUUGCUUAGUCACGAACAGUAAUGGUGAUGGAGGUGGUGUUUGGGUGAUGAUGCUAUUAUAAUUGAACUGUAAGGUCUGCCCUGAUCGAGGGAAAAAACUUUUCCUACAGGUUUCCCACUAUAUGACUAUAUGUGACAGAUCUAUUUUCAUAGUUAUACCAUGUCUCUUUCAAGAUGAGGACCAUGCAGCACACUAUGACAUAAAGUGAUGAAUCGUAUGACAUUCUGGACAUAUUGCACCUUCACUGUCCAGUCUAUUUCUGAACGCCAGUACGUUCUGGUGACGGUCACAACUGAGGUGAUCGUGAUGGACUCAAAGCGCAGCAGUUGCUGCUCCUCUGCAUUUGUUGGUGAUGUGUAUCCCAAGUGCUUUGAACUACUGAGGAUUAUUGAUAUUAAAGCUAUUUCUGCAUCUGUGUUCCAUAUGUUUCCUUAUCUGAGUUGGAAAGAUAAUGGUUUUGGAAUCGCCCAAAAACUCUAACCUUAAACACUGGGUGUACGUAUUCUUUACUUUUGUCAACAAGUGGCAACGAACUACGUCCGUCACAUGUCGAGGCUGUCCUUAAAGUUUUGGUAUUUUCGUUUCGUUAUGAAGGAGUCUGUGGGUUUGGUGGUACGCGAAUCGGGGACGUGCGAUACAAGUAUAUAUCGAUACAAGUAUAUAUCGUGUAUGCGCCAGUCAGCUCGUAGGAUCGACUGCCUACGUCU
RNAcentral lists this long non-coding RNA (784 nucleotides) under Octopus vulgaris (common octopus). Lineage: Eukaryota; Metazoa; Mollusca; Cephalopoda; Octopoda; Octopodidae. The record is from RNAcentral.